Molecule: ribosomal RNA, 253 nt
Filed under: uncultured bacterium
Lineage: Bacteria
Description: partial 16S ribosomal RNA
Rfam family: Bacterial small subunit ribosomal RNA
Source: RNAcentral
UACGUGGGGGGCAAGCGUUGUUCGGAAUUACUGGGCGUAAAGGGCUCGUAGGCGGCCAACUAAGUCGGAUGUGAAAUCCCCAGGCUCAACUUGGGAACUGCAUCCGAUACUGAUUGGCUUGAAUCCGGGAGAGGGAUGCAGAAUUCCAGGUGUAGCGGUGAAAUGCGUAGAUAUCUGGAGGAAUACCGGUGGCGAAGGCGGCAUCUUGGACCGGCAUUGACGCUGAUGAGCGAAAGCCAGGGGAGCAAACGGG